This 352-nucleotide ribosomal RNA is filed under the name uncultured bacterium. RNAcentral describes it as "bacterial SSU rRNA". It matches the Rfam family "Bacterial small subunit ribosomal RNA", at positions 772 to 1114 of the family's 1533-position model. The record is from RNAcentral.
ACGUAAUAGAUACCCAGGUAGUCCACGCCCUAAACGAUGUCUACUAGUUGUUGGUGGAGUAAAAUCCAUGAGUAAACGCAGCUAAACGCGUGAAGUAGACCGCCUGGGGAGUACGGUCGCAAGAUUAAAACUCAAAGGAAUUGACGGGGCCCGGCACAAGCGGUGGAUUAUGUGGAUUAAAUUCGAUGCAACGCGAAAAACCCUUAACCUGGCCUUGACAUGCCACUAACGAAGCAGAGAUGCAUUAGGUGCCCGUAACGGGAAAGUGGACACAGGUGCUGCAUGGCUGUCGUCAGCUCGUGUCGUGAGAUGUUGGGUUAAGUCCCGCAACGAGCGCAACCCUUGCCAUUAA